AUAUAUAGUGAAACUGCGAAUGGCUCAUUACACCAGUUAUAAUUUACUUGAGAGAGACAACCGUGGAUAACCGUGGUAAUUCUAGAGCUAAUACAUGCGAAAAGACCCGACUUUCGAGGAAGGGUUGUAUUUAUUAGAUACAAAACCAAUUCGGGGGCAACUCCGACAAUGUUGGUGAUUCAUAAUAACUUUGCGAAUCGUAUGGCCUUGUGCUGACGAUGAAUCAUUCAAAUUUCUGCCCUAUCAACUGUCGAUGGUAAGGUAUUGGCUUACCAUGGUUGCAACGGGUAACGGGGAAUUAGGGUUCGAUUCCGGAGAGGGCGCCUGAGAGAUGGCGACCACAUCCAAGGAAGGCAGCAGGCGCGCAAAUUACCCAAUACCGACACGGUGAGGUAGUGACAAUAAAUAACAAUGCAGGACCCUUUACGGGGUUUUGUAAUUGGAAUGAGUACAAUUUAAAUCUCUUAACGAGAACCCAUU
RNAcentral lists this ribosomal RNA (480 nucleotides) under uncultured eukaryote. Its description in RNAcentral is "bacterial SSU rRNA". It matches the Rfam family "Eukaryotic small subunit ribosomal RNA", at positions 74 to 549 of the family's 1831-position model. The record is from RNAcentral.